Long non-coding RNA from Orcinus orca (killer whale), 1320 nucleotides. RefSeq lists it as uncharacterized. The transcript has 2 exons. The record is from RefSeq and is a predicted model, not a curated record. Lineage: Eukaryota; Metazoa; Chordata; Mammalia; Artiodactyla; Delphinidae.
GAACACGUCCCCCGCGCGCUCUGCCCAUUGGCUCCUGCCGCGCAGAUGGGCGGGGCGAGCGCCGCGGGACCCCGCCAGCGCCUCCCAAUGGCUAGGAAGUCGCUCGAGGGGUGGGGCCACAAACAGUGGCAGGCGGCCAUUGGGGAAGAUGGCCGUCCGUCAGGGCUCGAGGCGGAAACGGCCCGUGGAGUCGGGGGAGGGGCGAAGAGAGCAGCGAAGCCCGACCACGGUCUCCUCGCCUGACUGCAGGAAUGGGAAAAUUGAAGCCCGGGGUGGGGCACGGCGGACGCCGCCCUGCCUGCCUGCAAUGGAAGGAAAAUGAGGCCGGGGGCGCACGGACAACACCGCCGUGCCUGCCUGCAAUGGGGGGGAACUGAGGCCCGGGGCGCACAGAGCAGACUCCGCCGUCAAAGGACGUUCAGGACUGGACGGGCCUCCAUCCCAGCAGCAGAACACUCCAAACUUAUCUCGGAGAAUGCUGAUUCCAAAAAGAGUUGAACAGGGUUGUGGGUGAUAGGGGAACCCCGGGAAAGGUGCCGGAAAACAGGGCCAGCUGGGUGGGGCGAGUGGGGGGAGGGGCAGGCGGAGUCAGGGAGGCCGCGGCAGUCCGGUACCCCAGGCUUUUGGAAGCAUCCAGGAGAUGAUGGGCAUGCCGGGCUUGCUUGUUCCCAGCGUGGAGCAGACGUUCAAUAAAUAGAAGAAAUUAUCCUGAAUAUUGUUUGCUAUACGUCUCGUGCAGAAAAAAGGAUUUUUAAUUGGCAUAAGCCUAAACAGGGAGAAUGACACUUGUUGUUUCCGUAAGUCGAGGUCAGGCCUUUGCUCCCGCCUCUCCGGUCGGUUUUAGCUUGGGCGGAGUCAUGGCAACAGCGUCCAUUUUAGGGCCGCGCGGGCCUGGACGGAGCCCAGAGACCGGGGCUGCCGAGCCAGAGGGCUUUCUCGGAUUAGGGGCGGCUGCCGAUUUUCACGGAGGCCUCCGCCUUGCACUCCUUGGCCCCUUCUUUCGCCGAAGGCCAUCUGAAGCCCAGGAAUGGCUAAUCAGGAGUGUCCCGGUGGAUUUAGGAGAAUCCCCAACGCAUUCCUGUGGAUUUGCUCCCUCCAGGACUCCUGUCGCGCUCCGCUCUGGGUACCACCAGGGGCAGUUGCUCAUCUUUGUUGCCUCGGUUACUGGUGCCAGGGAUGGGCCCUCUUGACAGCAGGGAGGAUGGUUGGAGACAUGGGAGUGUCGCAGCCCAGAGGGAGAAUGUUGGUGGACCCUCCACCAGGUUCCUAGCACGGAUCUAAAUGGUCGCAAUCUAUUAAAAGCCAUUUCUGCUCACUGCC